This 4102-nucleotide long non-coding RNA is filed under the name Canis lupus familiaris (dog). RNAcentral's name for it is "lncRNA (ENSCAFG00000055745.1)". Lineage: Eukaryota; Metazoa; Chordata; Mammalia; Carnivora; Canidae. The record is from RNAcentral.
AAUAAUGAAGAUGUAGUUUCAUUAGACAACAUUCUAUGGUGUCUGCACAGUUUCCUGGAGAAGAUAGAGGAGUUUUUUAAAAUAGGCUCGCAUCUUUCUGCUUUCAUUUCUGACUCUAGAUCAUAGGUUUUAGGGAAAGAGGGAGAAAGUGAACACAAAGGUUCUGUUCUAAUUUAAAUAUUUUUCACAAUUUAGUACUAAUUACUUCUUUUAAGGUUCAAUCACCUUCUAAAUGCUACAUGAUAAAAAGAAGAGAAAAAUAUUACAUGGUUCACAGCCAAGAACAUUAAUAAAAGUACUUUCUCAAGUUUAAUCAUUAUUUUCAUUUUUUAUUUAAAAUUUUUCUUUUUUAUCAUCUCAGUUGCCAAAUUUCAAUCUUCAUUGAUUAAAAACACAGCAGAAUUCCUUGCAUACAAAUUUAUUCAGGUUUGCAAACAUUAAAUCAUCAUUAGAUUAGAAUGACAAGCAUGACAAAAUUAAUACUCCAAAAGAGGUUCAGGGAAAUAUAAAGUCUAGAAUGUAUUGAAUUAGGUUUUAAAUUGAACCCAUACAAGCUUAAGUUCAAUGAAAACUAAUAUUGCACACUUUUUAAUCAAUUAUUUCAUAAUCAUCUCCCUAAAUCCUUUUAAUUUACCAAGAAAUCCUAUCUAAAAAGUUUUCUAAAGUCAGCCUAAAAUACCAUUGAAAUGCAAAUUGGAUCUAAACUUCUACUAAAUCCAUCAAAUGAUACCUUAUUUCAGUUCAUCAAAUAACUCUCUAUGAUUGAAUGUAAAAUAUGUCCUCAGUGCUCAUUAGUGUUACAAUUAAAAUCCAUAUUAUAUGGCAAACAAAAUGACACAAUUAUUUGAAACCAUUAUGAAGCUAAACUCUUUAGAAUAACUUACCAUGUAAGCCACAUGAUGCUAAGCUCAUUUACAACCUUAAAUAUAUUUAGACCUAAUUUCCAAAUCUAACAUUUAGUUGACAGCAACAGUCCUGCCUUUUUAAAUACUUUUAGUGGAGAGAAAACUCAUCAUUGGUUCCAUUAUACAAUCUUGUGGCUAACAAGUGAUUAGAGGGCAGAGGGCAGGGCAAGAAAGAGAUGUUUGAGAGUAGUCACCAUAAAUCCCUAAGAAAGGAGGAGGUCCCUGGAGAGCAGCCACAGAUGAUGGGGGGUGGGGGGAGGAGUAAGUCAGAAAGUGGCUAAGGUGGGGCUGGGGGAGGGACAUGCCCAACAGCGCAGAUAGGAGCCGUCCAUCCUUUAGUCCCUCUGUGAGCAAUAGCCCCCUUACUAAGUCACAUGUCAAAAUAUGUGCAUUUGAAAAUAACACUGAAGAGGAUUUCUAAUUGUAGUCUGUUUUUAUGCUUAAGUAUAGUUUGCUUUUCUCCCAGUUGUUAUCUUUCAUAACAUAAAUAGUGAGAAAAGGAUUUACACUGAUAAUACAAAGAGGCUUGCGUAAAAGUGUUAAGAAUCACAAAAAUAAACUAAGUUAGAAAUCUUUCAUUCAUUUGAAGCUGAAUAGAUGGUAAUUAACUGAUCAAGAUAAGAAUUAUAAAAUUUGGCACCUGACUCUUUGGGAUGUAACUUCAUGUCUUAUUAGUGGGAUCCAGAUGGGGACCUGACAAGCAAAAAGUCCCUCUAAAAUUGAUCUAGAUUUUUAGCCCAUCAGCUUUCCUCUGGAAAAACCACCUGUGAAACAAGAAAACUUAAACAUUGCUGGGCUGCCUGGGUGGCUCAGUCAGUUGGGCAUCCAACUCCUGAUUUGGGAUCAGGUCAUGAUCUCAAGUUUGUGAGAUUUAGCCCUGAGUUGGGCUCUGCACCGGGCAUAGAGUUGCUUACGAUUCUCUCUCUCUCUCCCUCUUGUCAGAGAGGGAGGGAGGGAGGGAGGAAGGGAAAAAAGCAUGGCUAUGAAAGGGGUCUAUUGCAAUCUAUGUCUAAGUUUGCUGGGAGUCAACAGGGAAGCAAUGAAAGGCUCCACCAGGAUGUGCUCUGUUUAUGCAAUUCAGAACUCCAAAAGCAAACAGGUUUCAGUUGCUGAUGGCAGCAACCCACAUAUCACGGGGAAGUGAUAUAGAGAAGCAGAGGUAGCACCAUCUGUGUUUGGUCCAGCUGACCUGGGCUGGAAUCCCAGCUUGGUCAUUUAACUGGAAAAUGACCUUGGAUGAGUUCUUGACAUCUUUGAGCUAUACCCGCCCUAACAUGUGAAAUGGAGAUGAUACUUACAGGGUUGUGAGGAUUAAAAUAAAGACAUAUGCAAUCUUCAACACUAGAGGCUGCCAUAUAAAGAGGAAUCGUUUCUUGGCCAGUCUUUAGUGUUGCAAUUCAUUCAGUCAUUGUGCUAGAAUUUUUUUUCUAUAUAAAGAGGGAGAGGAAAUAAGGGAAGGAGAGAGAGAAAGAAAUUGGAGAUACAGAUAGAUACAGAUGGAGGAAGGAGAGGUAGAGGAAUAAGGAAGAGGGAGGAGGAACAGAGAAGGAAGGAGGAGAAGUGGAGAAAGGAGAAGGAGAAAAGAAUAUAUCAACUGAUUACAAUAAUCUGAGAACUUGCCUUACCUUUCUCAGAGAAAUAACACAAAUGUAAUCCAACCUACCCAUCUCCCCAAGUACUGAAAUGACUAAACCAAACACCAGUUUGCACACACCUUUUGAAUUGUGACUGUAAACCGGUGAUUGACAUUUGCUGUACUCCGAAAGGCUAGAGAAUUUACCUCUGCUUUAAGAUUCAUUUCAGGCCAGCUGAAACUGAGGACUGAAGCAGUUAACCAGAUAGUUUCGGCACAAACAGGCAUAUUCUCUGGCCUCCAUGUGGUUUCACUUGGAUUUGUUGAAUACUGGGCCAUCACAUUUGGAAUCACCUGGUCAACAUGAGUUACACUCACUGGAAUUCCUAGGGAUAUGUUUUAUAAUCAAGAUGGAAUUCUGAGAAAACCUUCCUGUAAAAUGAAUGGAAAACUAGCUUAACUUGAGUAGAAAUCUAAAUACCAAUAUAAAAGAACUCUUAAAAAUUCUAGUCACUGUUUCCUGUAAAUGAAUAUUUGCAAGUUAGUAAUAGCCUACUAUGAAUUUAUCUAUUAAUGAGGUUCAGUCAUGAAAUUCUUUGUGGAAAAGGUAGUACAGCAGUGUUCACCUUCAGACUAGCUUGGGAGAGACUCUUUUAGAUGGAGAAAAACAACUUUAUUUGCAGAUUGCAAGCAAAUUUUGUUACCAUAUUUGUGGAGGGAAACCGAAUUCUUCAAAAGCAACUCAAAUGUAGUUAUUAGACUAUUUCCAACCAAGUCAAGCAAUAUGCCUCUAUGACAAUUCAGGGAGCAGUCUACACUGGGAAGGCAACAAAACCGGUUACUUUGAAGAUUUAGGUACUUAGUCUGUGUCUCUAGCUAUUUAAUCUCUGAGCUUCAAGAGUUUCUUUUUGUGAAAUCCAGCAAAACAUAUUUCUUUCCUAUAGUAAUAUACUUUUAAAUAACUAAGACUGUUAUGCAAAUUCAACAUAAAUAUAUGACAAACUACUAUUGCUUCCUACUACUUUAAUCCUUUGAGCUUGUUUACAUGUUAGCUUUUAGGAUAUUUCACCCUCUGGAGAACUAAUUCCCAAGUAGGCAUAAGAUUUCCAGAGUACAAAUCAAACCUUCAACACUGCUACAUCAAAACAGCAGCAGUAGAAACUGCAACGGCCUACAGUCAUUUCUGACUGGGUCAAGAUGACACAGUGCCAGUGUGAAUGUCAACUCAGCACCAGCAUCAAAAUGCCAGGACCAAUAUGAUGAUACCAGUGUCAAAAGGACAGCAAAUAUAUGGCAAAACUGGCACUAAUGUUAUUUUCAUACUUAAAAAAAAAUUACCCUAAAAUCUAAGGUUUGGUCAUAUUCUUCAUUUACUUUAGCCUGCAAAACACUAUUUUUGGAGUAUUUCACAUAAAUUUACUGAGCUCUUAAAAUAAUUCUAUGAGACUUUUUUUUUCCUCAUUCUAUCCAGUGGCUGUAUUUUUUAAACUGGUAUGUAUAAAUUUAAUUUUUAUCAGUUACAGUUUAAACAAUUGAGAAGAGGUUGAGUGUUAAAGGAAUUCCAAGGAGAAUCUUUUAAUAAACCACAGGCUUCUGGUAUUUAAAAAAAAAAAAAAAAAAAAAG